Molecule: transfer RNA, 69 nt
Filed under: Diphylla ecaudata (Hairy-legged vampire bat)
Lineage: Eukaryota; Metazoa; Chordata; Mammalia; Chiroptera; Phyllostomidae
Description: tRNA-Trp
Source: RNAcentral
AGAAGUUUAGGUUAAGCACAGACCAGAGGCCUUCAAAGCCCCAAGCAAAUAAUAACUAUUUAACUUCUG